GGCCUCGUGGCCCAAUGGCAAGGCGUCUGACUACGAUAGAGAUCCAGACCGGGAAUUAAACCAAGAAUCCCGGACUGAAAUCUUCACGAUAAAUCAGGAGAUUCUGGGUUCGACCCCCAGCGAGGUCA
Molecule: non-coding RNA, 128 nt
Organism: Xylaria telfairii
Lineage: Eukaryota; Fungi; Ascomycota; Sordariomycetes; Xylariales; Xylariaceae
Source: the annotation of a GenBank genome assembly